RNAcentral lists this microRNA precursor (200 nucleotides) under Podarcis lilfordi (Lilford's wall lizard). The record is from RNAcentral. Lineage: Eukaryota; Metazoa; Chordata; Lepidosauria; Squamata; Lacertidae.
GUAUGUCCAACACAUUUCAGUCACAAAUACCUUCAUUGUCAGAAGCUUAUUUCCUUGUUUCUUAAUGAAGCAAUCUCAAAGCUUUUUGUUGUCAAAGAUUCUGACAGUCUUUUGACAGAAAGCUUUGAGAUUGCUUCAUUAAGAAACAAGGAAAUAAGCCCUUGACAAAGGCAUUUGUGGCCAAAACACAUUGGGCAUAU